UACGUAGGUGGCUAGCGUUAUCCGGAAUUACUGGGCGUAAAGGGUGCGUAGGUGGUUUCUUAAGUCAGAGGUGAAAGGCUACGGCUCAACCGUAGUAAGCCUUUGAAACUGGGGAACUUGAGUGCAGGAGAGGAGAGUGGAAUUCCUAGUGUAGCGGUGAAAUGCGUAGAUAUUAGGAGGAACACCAGUUGCGAAGGCGGCUCUCUGGACUGUAACUAACACUGAGGCACGAAAGCGUGGGGAGCAAACAGG
RNAcentral lists this ribosomal RNA (252 nucleotides) under uncultured bacterium. RNAcentral describes it as "partial 16S ribosomal RNA". It matches the Rfam family "Bacterial small subunit ribosomal RNA", at positions 524 to 776 of the family's 1533-position model. The record is from RNAcentral.